AGUCGAACGAACUUUCCUGAUGAUUGAAGCUUGCUUCAUUGAUUCAGAUCUAAGUGAGUGGCGGACGGGUGAGUAACACGUGGGUAACCUGCCCAAAAGUGGGGGAUAACAUUUGGAAACAGAUGCUAAUACCGCAUAACAACUAUUUUCUCCUGAUUAUAGUUUGAAAGAUGGCUCUGCUAUCGCUUUUGGAUGGACCCGCGGCGUAUUAGCUAGUUGGUGAGGUAAUGGCUCACCAAGGCGAUGAUACGUAGCCGACCUGAGAGGGUAAUCGGCCACAUUGGGACUGAGACACGGCCCAAACUCCUACGGGAGGCAGCAGUAGGGAAUCUUCCACAAUGGACGAAAGUCUGAUGGAGCAAUGCCGCGUGAGUGAAGAAGGUUUUCGGAUCGUAAAACUCUGUUGUUGAAGAAGAACAUGCGUGAGAGUAACUGUUCACGUACUGACGGUAUUCAACCAGAAAGCCACGGCUAACUACGUGCCAGCAGCCGCGGUAAUACGUAGGUGGCAAGCGUUGUCCGGAUUUAUUGGGCGUAAAGAGAAUGUAGGCGGUUUAUUAAGUUUGAAGUGAAAGCCCUCGGCUCAACCGAGGAAGUGCUCGAAAACUGGUAAACUUGAGUGCAGAAGAGGAAAGUGGAACUCCAUGUGUAGCGGUGGAAUGCGUAGAUAUAUGGAAGAACACCAGUGGCGAAGGCGGCUUUCUGGUCUGUAACUGACGCUGAGAUUCGAAAGCAUGGGUAGCAAACAGGAUUAGAUACCCUGGUAGUCCAUGCCGUAAACGAUGAGUGCUAAGUGUUGGGGGGUUUCCGCCCCUCAGUGCUGCAGCUAACGCAUUAAGCACUCCGCCUGGGGAGUACGAUCGCAAGAUUGAAACUCAAAGGAAUUGACGGGGGCCCGCACAAGCGGUGGAGCAUGUGGUUUAAUUCGAAGCAACGCGAAGAACCUUACCAGGUCUUGACAUACCAUGAAAAGCUGAGAGAUCAGUCUUUCCCUUCGGGGACAUGGAUACAGGUGGUGCAUGGUUGUCGUCAGCUCGUGUCGUGAGAUGUUGGGUUAAGUCCCGCAACGAGCGCAACCCUUAUUAUCAGUUGCCAGCAUUCAGUUGGGCACUCUGGUGAGACUGCCGGUGAUAAACCGGAGGAAGGUGGGGACGACGUCAAAUCAUCAUGCCCCUUAUGACCUGGGCUACACACGUGCUACAAUGGUCGGUACAACGUGCUGCGAACUCGCGAGGGCAAGCAAAUCACUUAAAACCGAUCUCAGUUCGGAUUGUAGGCUGCAACUCGCCUACAUGAAGCUGGAAUCGCUAGUAAUCGCGGAUCAGCAUGCCGCGGUGAAUACGUUCCCGGGCCUUGUACACACCGCCCGUCACACCAUGAGAGUUUGUAACACCCAAAGUCGGUGGGGUAACCCUUCGGGGAACUAGCCGC
This 1431-nucleotide ribosomal RNA is filed under the name Lactobacillus sp. 8525126. RNAcentral describes it as "bacterial SSU rRNA". It matches the Rfam family "Bacterial small subunit ribosomal RNA". Lineage: Bacteria; Bacillati; Bacillota; Bacilli; Lactobacillales; Lactobacillaceae. The record is from RNAcentral.